ACAACUACUGCGUAUGAAUUUUCUGAGGUAUCUUAAUGUACAUGGUUUAUCAGUUGUGAGAUGGUAAAGCUAUGGUGUGAAGGUCAAAAUCUGUUAAAUGCUAUAUGUUGCUGGUUCUUCAUGCUGCUAUGUUCAUUCUCACAUAUUGGUUUUGUUUGUCUAUCAUGCUUGGAUGUAGAAAAUGUGUGAUGGAAUACAGUAUAUGGGGCUAGGUGAAACCAUGGAAGAAGGUGGAAGCAUUAAAGAAAGCUUACCCUGGGAACUUUGGCAGAAACAGGCAGGGGCUGCUCUUCGAUAAUUGCAGGAUGGUGGAGAUGAUGAUUAAUAGAGGAUUGGCAAAGUAUAGUGGUGGGCAAAAUAUAGUGGUAGGCAAAGUAGUGGGGAGCAAAGUAGUGGAAGAUAAAAAAAAUAAUAAUAAUAAUGUAGUGUAGGAUUAAUGAUGUAUUUUCUAUGUCUCGGUGAUUCUGUAACUGUAAAAUGGAUCGCGUGCUCGUAUCUGCUUGGUACUGUUUAUUUAAAUAAAUCUUGUAUUUCGACA
Long non-coding RNA from Salvia miltiorrhiza (redroot sage), 538 nucleotides. RefSeq lists it as uncharacterized. The transcript is spliced from 2 exons. The record is from RefSeq and is a predicted model, not a curated record. Lineage: Eukaryota; Viridiplantae; Streptophyta; Magnoliopsida; Lamiales; Lamiaceae.